Molecule: transfer RNA, 63 nt
Filed under: Longitarsus exsoletus
Lineage: Eukaryota; Metazoa; Arthropoda; Insecta; Coleoptera; Chrysomelidae
Description: tRNA-Phe
Source: RNAcentral
AUUCAAAUAGCUUAAUUAGAGCAUAAUAUUGAAGAUAUUAAGGAAAUUGUAAAUUUUUGAGUA